RNAcentral lists this transfer RNA (70 nucleotides) under Heterocephalus glaber (naked mole-rat). It matches the Rfam family "tRNA". From Rfam's summary of the family: Transfer RNA (tRNA) molecules are approximately 80 nucleotides in length. The record is from Rfam by way of RNAcentral. Lineage: Eukaryota; Metazoa; Chordata; Mammalia; Rodentia; Bathyergidae.
UGGGAUGUAGCUCUAUAGUAGAGCACUUGCUUGGCAUUUAAAAAAACGUGGGUUUGAUCCCCACCACCAA